RNA transcript from Drosophila simulans, 1315 nucleotides. It is a transcript of the gene named aquaporin AQPcic, with no coding region annotated. Lineage: Eukaryota; Metazoa; Arthropoda; Insecta; Diptera; Drosophilidae. The transcript is spliced from 7 exons. The record is from RefSeq and is a predicted model, not a curated record.
AAAUGCGGUCGCGCAGUUUUUGUCGUCGAGUCAAAGUGCGCGGAUCACUCCUCGAGUGAGCUAACAAUUCCUGCCGAAUUGAAUUAAAUAUUUGUUAAGUGCAAGUUUAGGUGUUAGUUGUUGUUGUUGCCGUUAAGUCGAGUUCGUAAGCAGGUGCAAAGGUGCCACAGUGAGUUAAUAGCAAAACAAGUCCGUCAGUUUUAGUUGGAAAGCGAAGCCAAGAAGAUGGGAAAAUUCGAAUACUCACUGGGUCUCAAUGAGCUCAAAUCCAAGGAGCUGCGAUUGUGGCAGGCCCUGAUUGGAGAGUUCCUGGGCAAUCUGAUCCUCAAUUUCUUUGCCUGCGGCGCAUGCACCCAAAUUGAGGAUGGCACCUUCAAAGCCUUGGCUUUUGGCCUGGCCAUCUUUAUGGCCAUCACGAUUGUGGGUCACUUGAGUGGUGGUCAUGUGAAUCCUGCCGUUACCGCUGGAAUGUUGGUCGCAGGACGAAUUAGCUUGAUCAGAGCCUUUUUCUAUGUGGUUUUCCAGUGCCUGGGUGCCAUUGCCGGAACUGCAGCGGUUAAGAUUCUCAUCGAUCAGGACUAUUAUAAUGGCCUAGGUCACACCUCGCUGGCGCCCAAUAUCACCGAGCUGCAGGGCCUGGGAAUCGAGUUCUUCCUGGGACUCCUGCUGGUGCUCGUCGUCUUUGGGGCCUGUGAUCCCCACAAGCCCGAUUCCCGCUAUACGGCGCCCCUGGCCAUCGGAAUGGCGGUGACCCUGGGUCACUUGGGCACCAUUCGGUACACCGGGGCCAGCAUGAAUCCCGCCCGCACUGUGGGCACCGCCUUUGCCACCGACAUCUGGGCGUCGCAUUGGGUAUACUGGGUGGGUCCUGUGCUGGGGGGCGUGGCUGCCGCCCUGCUCUACACCCAGGUCCUGGAGGCGAAGCCCGUGCCGAAGGUGAACGAGGCAUCCGAGAAGUACCGAACGCACGCCGAUGAACGCGAGCAGCAGAUAUUCGUAUACUAAGCUAUUACGACCUGCACGCAAAACUAAUCUAAACCGCUUUUGUGAACCGAAUACCAUUGGUUUAGAAACUCUUCAAUCCUAUCAACCGAACCCGUCCGCCAUUUCGAUCGAUGCGCAAACUGGAGGGAGCCCGCGACUACGCCUAGAUAUAAGGAAACCUAUGCGACUCGAAUCUAGGGAUACAGAUGAGAUCUGUGUGUUUAAUCCAUUCAUUUCAGUGUCUAACAUACCCAUGUCGUGUUCUUCUGCGUUCGUGUGUAUUUAUGUAUUUAUUCAUGCAAAGUUCAUUUUUAACUAACUAAUAUUUAAU